Non-coding RNA from Notechis scutatus (mainland tiger snake), 146 nucleotides. Lineage: Eukaryota; Metazoa; Chordata; Lepidosauria; Squamata; Elapidae. The record is from RefSeq and is a predicted model, not a curated record.
GAUGAAAAUCUAAAAGUGUUUUACAAUGCAGUUACUCUACUUCUAAAGAAUCUUAAAGGUAUAAGAAGGCUUUAUUUUUCUAUAUGCUUUUGUAACCUUCCUCACAUAUCUAUCUUGUGUGUAUGUGAGAAAAGGUCUUACCCUAA